Molecule: ribosomal RNA, 238 nt
Filed under: uncultured bacterium
Lineage: Bacteria
Description: partial 16S ribosomal RNA
Rfam family: Bacterial small subunit ribosomal RNA
Source: RNAcentral
GAUCAUGGCUCAGGAUGAACGCUAGCGGCAGGCUUAACACAUGCAAGUCGAGGGGCAGCGGGGUGUAGCAAUACACUGCCGGCGACCGGCGCACGGGUGCGUAACGCGUAUGCAACCUACCCAUAACAGGGGCAUAACACUGAGAAAUUGGUACUAAUUCCCCAUAACAUUCGAAGAGGCAUCUCUUUGGGUUGAAAACUCCGGUGGUUAUGGAUGGGCAUGCGUUGUAUUAGCUUAG